RNAcentral lists this ribosomal RNA (327 nucleotides) under uncultured eukaryote. RNAcentral describes it as "partial 18S ribosomal RNA". It matches the Rfam family "Eukaryotic small subunit ribosomal RNA", at positions 1470 to 1796 of the family's 1831-position model. The record is from RNAcentral.
CCCUUAGAUGUCCUGGGCCGCACGCGCGCUACACUGACGAAUGCAACGAGCUUAUAACCUUGGCCGAAAGGUCUGGGUAAUCUCCAAAUUUCGUCGUGAUGGGGAUAGAUUAUUGCAAUAAUUAAUCUUCAACGAGGAAUGCCUAGUAAGCGCAAGUCAUCAGCUUGCGUUGAUUACGUCCCUGCCCUUUGUACACACCGCCCGUCGCUCCUACCGAUUGAAUGGUCCGGUGAAGCGUUCGGACCGUGGCCUUUGGACGGUUCGCCGUCUGUUGGCUGCGGGAAGUUCGUUAAACCUUAUCAUUUAGAGGAAGGAGAAGUCGUAACA